Molecule: non-coding RNA, 115 nt
Organism: Triticum aestivum (bread wheat)
Lineage: Eukaryota; Viridiplantae; Streptophyta; Magnoliopsida; Poales; Poaceae
Source: Rfam
AUAGUACUCCCUCCAUUCUGAAUUAUUUGUCGCAGAUAUGGAUGUAUCUAGAUGUAUUUUAGUUCUAGAUGCAUCCAUUUCUGCGACCAGUAAUUUGGAACGGAGGGAGUAUUAA